Molecule: ribosomal RNA, 440 nt
Filed under: uncultured bacterium
Lineage: Bacteria
Description: partial 16S ribosomal RNA
Rfam family: Bacterial small subunit ribosomal RNA
Source: RNAcentral
CCUACGGGAGGCAGCAGUGGGGAAUAUUGCACAAUGGGGGAAAGCCUGAUGCAGCGACGCCGCGUGAGUGAAGAAGUCUCUCGGUAUGUAAAGCUCUAUCAGCAGGGAAGAAAAUGACGGUACCUGUCUCAGAAGCGCCGGCUAACUACGCGCCAGCAGCCGCGGUAAUACGUAGGGGGCAAGCGUUAUCCGGGUUUACUGGGGGUAAAGGGAGCGUAGAGGGGAGUACAAGUCUGGAGUGAAAUCCCGGGGCUUAACCCCGGAACGGCUUUGGAAACUGGGGGGCUGGAGUGCGGGAGGGGUAGGCGGAAUUCCUAGUGUAGCGGUGAAAUGCGUAGAUAUUAGGAGGAACACCGGUGGCGAAGGCGGCUUACUGGACUGUAACUGACGUUGAGGCUCGAAAGCGUGGGGAGCAAACAGGAUUAGAUACCCUGGUAGUC